This is a long non-coding RNA of Chiroxiphia lanceolata (lance-tailed manakin), 9089 nucleotides long. RefSeq lists it as uncharacterized. The record is from RefSeq and is a predicted model, not a curated record. NCBI's taxonomy places the organism in Eukaryota, Metazoa, Chordata, Aves, Passeriformes, Pipridae. The transcript is spliced from 5 exons.
UACUGUAAUGUAUUUUUAAGAAGCUAUGUCAUGUUUUAUAAAUGAAAAACACUAUGAAUUAAGUAUAUAUCCUUUGUCUUGUUUAUUAAUUCCGUACUACAACUUUAAAUUUUACAUUACUUCUUUCUUAUUUUUUCUGAGUACAGACAUUAAUGCCUUCAUACUGGCUUUGGCAUGGUAUGUGUUAUUUAUGUCCUAAAGUUCCAGUUGUCUUAGUAAGAUUGGGUGCUCUACAGCUCUUGCCAGCCUUGCAGUGACUCUCAGUCCCCUUGCCCUUCAAUCACCCCGGGCUCCUUAACAGGUCUAUUUCAUUUGGGGAUAAGGUACAGCAUGUCUCACAGUUUUAGCUUCUCAGUCUUCUCCCUUGCUGUAGAUGGUAUCCAUACCAAUUUGUAGCAUGAUGAGCUUUCCCUGUAUUUUCUAAAAAUAUGUUUGCUAUGUCAAAAUAAUUUUUCUCAAAUGGCAAUACAGAUUCCUGAGCACCAUAGGUUUAAUUCAAGAUAUAAUUAAAAGACUGCGUGAAGACUUUAAAUCUGCUUUUAUAUUCAGCUUUUUUUUUUUCACUCUUAACUGAACCACAUACUGUAACAGCCUACUCAUUUCUAAAGAGCAGUGAUCACAUCUCCUGCAGAGGCUGCUUCACUACGAACUCCCUCCUGCAAGGUGCUGAUUGCUCUGGCCCUCACUCAUUGAAGUCCUUAGAUGCUUAGCUGCUGGACUAAGAUCAGCGUCUAAUACUUUUCAAGAUACAUAUCUGUGCUCCAAGAAGGAUCGUUCAUUCUUUGCUCCUGUCAGAGGAUGGGUCCUAAAUAAAGGAAAUAAUUUAGUCUUUGGUUAUCUAGCAGGAGAGAGAUUAUCACGCUAGAGUGGAGUACCUUGAAGUCAGCUCAAUUUACAGUAUCCCAUCUGCUUUGCUCUAUAAUGGUGUUCGGAUUAUGAUAAGAUGUAUAUUUCUGUGUUAAAGUUAAACUAAUAACAAAAAUAAAUAGAUAGCAAAAAAAAUCAACAUGUUUUAACUUUACUAUUAUUUCAUCAAGCAAUAAUGAACUGAGAAUUUGGCUAGUAUAUUAAAAACAUAGCCAAUAAAUCCAACAUUAUUUUAUAAUUAAGCACAGAAAAACAGUGAAAUAAUUGAUCCAUGUAUGUAAUUACUAGUGUACCAAUAAAACCAAAAUGUUUUCUUGGAAGAUAGUCCUGAGUUAGGACUUAAACAGUAACUUACUGGGUGUACUGAGAGAAGAACAGCGAACUAUUUCAAAUAUGCUGGGGCAUGUUCUUCAGGAAAGGAAAAAUUUUUGAUUAUUUACACUAAUAUAUAAGGACUCCCCUUACAUAGGCUUGCCUCACUUCAGCCAACUGAAGUAAAGGUCUAAAGCCUGAGCCAUUUCAGGCAAGCUGCAAAGAGGAAGAGGGUUCUCUUACCUGUGUUGUCAUCCUCUGGAGUCAGGAUCUCAAAGUUUUCUUAAGGAUGACUAUAAAACCGUGGCUUUCACUACAGCACCCAUUGCAUUGCUGUUGCUCUCAGGAGAAAUUUAUUCUCCACAGCCACACCAUCUUGUAAACUGUUGUGACAAGACAAACCUUUCUCAUGCCACAAGAGAGAGAGUGAACUGUACAUCCUGUUGGUAACAUAUAGAAGUGGUCAAUUUCUGUGCUGGAGAAGUGAUUCUGCAGCCCAUUGUGAAGACCAUGGUGAGGCAGGCUGUCCCCCUGCAGCCCACAGAGGUCCACAGUGGAGCAAAUACCCACCAUGGAGCAGAUAUCCCAUAGAGGAACUCACAACAGAGUGGGGGAAUGCCUGAAGGAGGCUGUGACCCCUUGGGAAGCCCAUGCUGGAACAUGCUCCUAGCAAGACCUGUGGCCUCAUGGAGAGAGGAACCCAUGCUGGAGCAGGUGAGGAGGGGAGUGAUAGAAAGACUUCUGUGGGCAUCUGGUGUCCAGCCAGAUUCAACCCACCUCGGUCAGUAAGAAGACAUUUGGAAAGAGCUGAAUCAGUGGAACUGAAUGCAGUGUUUCCAAUUCUUCCUGGCAAGUGAAGGAAUAAAGAAGUAAAGAAUGAAGUCAGAAUCACACUAUGGGAAUACUAUCAUAUUUUUUUAAUUAAUUCCAUUCAAGAAAAUCUUAAUUGAAUAUUUUAGAGUUAAGAUAACAAUGCUGUUAAACAGCAACACAAUAUGAUGAAGUCAACAAAGUGUGACUGUGAUAAUGUAAAGAAAAAUUCAAAUACAUUAAUUUGCCCAUUAACCUUAUCCUAUUCCCUUUGGAUUUUAUUUUCUGUGCUUUAUUUUUUAACCUCAGAGCUGCAUUCAUGUAUUAUUAAAUCACUAACAACUGUUAUUUAAAAAUCUUGGCUUUCUGAGCCCAGUAAGUAAUCUGGAUGAGCAAUCUACCUCCUUAGGGGAAUUUUCCUAUGCAGAAGCUGGUAUGACCUCCAUUCAAACAGUUUGCAUGCAUAGUUAUAUUUCUGAUGGGCUCUAAUUGUAAACAUAAGAUGAAAAUAAUUUGUAGUGAAUUUUGUCUGGAAAUUUGACCCUUUACAUUUUUUUUCUUUAAUUUUACCUUACCCAUGUUAGUAAGCAAAUAAUGCAUUUUUGUGCCAUGGAUAUUCAAAUUAAUCAAAUAACUAUUAAAUUAUGCACUUGACAUAGCAUAUGCCUGCAUUAUUUGGCAGAAGUCAAAUGUACAAAUAUGUACACUGUGGAAUGCUCCAUAUCUGUGUAUAGUUAAACCAACAUGAGGACAGUGGUUAUACUGUUCUAGGCCUGUGUAACCACACAGUUUGGAAUCUUUGAAUAAAUUGCUGAAUGAACCUUAUUAGGAAUUAUAUGUAUGAGGUUUACAGAGGGCAGAUGCUCCCUUUAUAAAUACUGAUAGCUGCCACAUCCCCAUUCAGAUCUUUAGUAGGUUCCAGGUAGGAAUGUAAAUACACUAGUCCUAAGUAAAAAGUAUCCAUCAGUUGAAAAUUUUGGCAUCUAGCAAUCUCUGGUAAUGUGCAAAACCCCAAGCCAGCCAGCCUGUGCCUUUGUUUUUUAAUUCCUCCCCUGUGAUUUGACAGAUCUUCAGGUAAAGUGCAGAAGAGUUGAUGGAGACACUGACAGUUCUAUAACUUCGCUCAGCCACUCUGAGGUUCAUAGAGCCUAUCACAGACUGGAGUAAAUGUCUAUUCAUUAUAAAACCUUCCCAGGUUUGAGAAAAAAAGGGUAAUAAACCUGAACAAGGAAUUACAAAUGAGCUGGGAGAGGAUCUCAGUGACUUGGGACCUUCAUUCUCUGGAAGAGUUUUACAUUGUCCUAGAGGACUUCCUUUUAUUGUGCUGUUAGCAACUGGGAAGACUUUCUCCUGGCUGGAUGCUUGUUUAACUUGGUGGGCCAAAGCUAUUUUGUUCUGUAGUAAGUUUGUAAAUUAGGCAUAUAAUCUUCAGCCUAUACUUGCCAAUGUAAAUCAAAGGACCGGGUAUUUCCAUAGGAUUUUGGCAUUCUAUAGUUCUCUUUCUAACCUAUAUGACUACUGAUGGUGGCUUCCUAUUGCUACUCAGCACUGACUGUCAAAUGGAAAGGAAGUACCAAGCUGACACAUGGCAAAUGAAUCAUCUUUUUAUAAAAGCUCAUAAUAGAGAUAACUGAAAUGCAGAACAAUGUCAUCACAGUCACUUCUGAACAUAGGAAAAUGGAAUAAUGCUUUCUGGAACAACAAAGGUAUCUUUGUGCUCUUAGAUAAAAUUGCUGAACUAACUAAAUAUAUUUAAACAGGAACUGCUUCUAGACUGUAGCUUGAAUGCCAGUUCUCAAAUGAGGAUAUAUUUUUAGACACAGUUCAUGAAUUGCUAAACCCAAGAUUUUCAAUUGGAAAUGCAAAGCUGCUGCUGCAACCGUCUGCUAUCGGUAAUUGUGAUUAAAACAGAAUAGGCAAUGGCACAAGCAGAACAGCUGCAUCUGUUUAGAUUUCUUCCAAAACCAGUAUUGUGACAACUGAAGUAAUGUAUGUGCAUAUGUAUUUCAUCCCAUGCUGCAAAAAUUAAUUUAUUAUUUGUGAUAUUAUUGCUUAUAUAAUCUCCAUCCUAAACCAGGACUCUACAGUCAUGUGCUGAUAUAUAUGGUAAAUGGGAUACAGACAGAAGGAAGACUACAAAGAGAUAUUAAAAUAAUAAUGAUCUACAUGCUUGGUUUCUGCCUAUCAAUAGCCUCUGUGUGUACUGCUCCACUGAGAGAGACCCCAGUGAGCCUCUUUUUAACUGUGUGAAGAUGCAACUUGCCUGAACCUGGGAGCGUCAUGACUGACAGUGAGUGAAAAAGGAUGGGAUACUAGACAGCCUUAGGACAUGUCUUCACUAAGCUAAAGGUCAAAUUCAGAUCAGGCUUAAUGGAAAACAAAGAUAAAUCAUCCCUUUAUAGAUAUGCCUGUUUAUCUAUGGGUUGCCUUUGAGGAUACUUCUGCCUGUAACCUCUUGAGAAUGACACUAGACCUACAGAAAUCCUUAGGGUACUAGCACAGUCAGAAUAACCAUCAGGAGAUAUGAUUCUGUGAAAAUACUACUGCAGAAGCCUGUUCUGAGAAAGUGUAAAGGGAUGUCUGAUGAACGCCAACAAUUUCUGUCUUCCCUCUCCUCGUUAACUAUUCACUGGGUUGCUAGCAUGUGGAAGUGAUUCCAGCAGCAAGCUGAAAACCUACAGACAGCUUUAAAACUAUUAGAAAUAUGCAGAGGCUUUGAAAUCUAAGAAGGAUGGUUAUGAGUAUUGACUUCAAUCUCCUGUAUCACCCACAAAAAAGAUCCCCCAUUACUUCAGCUGCCGCUAUACUUCCCCUCAGUUACCAACGUGACCGAGUCCUGCCUAGCACAGUGGAGGUAAGUAAGAAUACAUGAACAGAAGACACAGGAUAGGACCACAUGGGGUGCAAAACAGAAGAUGGAAGACUGCAUUAAAAACAUGUCCUCGAUAUUGUUUGGUCCUAGUUUUUCCUGCCAGCUUCAAGGGCACAAAAAUAAUGUACACUUAAUGCACUCUGGACGGCAACAAGGCAUACUUGGCAAUCUCAACGCUGUAUUCACCAUGGGUUUUGGCAAUAUAUGUAACAUUGUUUUCCUAUGGCUCUGAGAGGUAUAAAAUGCCUGAUAUUCCAGUGGAAUAUCAAGUUUAAGACUAAAGUGAAACCUUAAAAAUUCCAUUAUUAUUAGUUAUUACAAUGUUAAUAAUUUUAGCAGAAAUAUCCAGCUAUUUGGGGGUUGUGAAUGGAAUUUUAGAACAGUAUCACUAGGUGUUGUUAGAUCAGACUUCAUACCUACAGUUUACUAAGAAUAAAAAAAAAAAUUGCCUUGUGAUUGAAUACUAUUCUGAAUUCUGGUGAAGUAAACGGUUCUUUUAAGGUGUGUGUUUCCCCUCAGAUCUGUAUUCAAGUUAUGCUGCUAUAGCUGAAAAAUGAGUCUUGUACUCUCCUGAGUAUAUUUGCAAUGGCAUUAAAUGAUUUGUGGUCAUCUUCAGUUAACACUGACAAUAAUUCUAUAAUAUCUUUGAAGUAAGGCCAACACCACCCUUUUUAACUUUUUUUGGUUUUUAAAUGCCAUUUCCAUUAUUGCAUGUUUUCCUGCUUUGCUGAUACUUCUGGAGGAAGACUACUUCAAUAUUCUGUUUGGAAGUACCCCAGUUUUAUGUCACCUUUUCUCCCGUAACAUAUUGCUGUUAUUUCUUCAGAUUUCUCGGAGUUUUUAAUACGUGCAUUUCACUGCCACUCACCCUCUACUGGUUUGAAUGGUAAGAAUAGGCACCAUGUCCCUCACCAGUUCAUCUUUCUCUGGAAUCUCUCUCCUUUCUCUUGGGUCAAUCAUGCUAAAGGUAGAUAAAAUCUAUUUUAUCUAACAUGUCAAUGUCACUCUAUUAACUUUCCUCUGUGGUACACUGUUUCCGUUAUAGGAAUUUAGAAGCUUGGGAAGGAAAUGAAUAUGCAACUUUAGCCAGGCAAAUUUGAGUUUUCUUCCAAAGCUUCUCAGGAUCUCUGGUCAUGCACUUCUUUUCUCCUCACAUCAGAAUGUCAUUUAUUCAUAUCAUAGUCUGCUACAUUGCCAUCUAUAGUUCACUAGUUUUCCAGUAAAGCUGCUGAUGGGAAUGCCAGUUGGAGGAAACUGUUUCCUUCAAUGUAAUAUGCUCACAAAAAUGAUGUGGUGUUGGUUUUUUUUCCUUAACAGUACCUGCUUGCAACCUGCCAACACAUUGUGUGUAUAAAAAUAUUUGCCAUCUAACACAUCUCCAGAAGUACCUCUUCUUAUGAAAAUUUUCCUUGAGGAAAAUGUUCACUUCACAUAUAUAUAUGUAUAUAAUCUCCAUGAUGCUACACAGCAGGUAAGAAUUGUAGGUUUUGCUCUUUUAGCAAUGAUGAGUGAACUGACUCUUCUUUUCUACUAAACACACAAUUUUACAACAAUGAGCCUGUCUGGCUUCAUUUUCUGCUGCUAUUCAGGGGGGAGAGAAAAAUUAUAUAAGUCAGGAACGGUGUGGUGACUGGGCUAUUAACUCACUUCCAUUCUGCACAGUUAAAAGAGCUUCUCUCCUGUGGAUCAUAUGCUUAGACAGAACCACAUUUAUUUUUGCUUGUUGCCUCACUAAAGAAAGAAUUAUAGAAUCAUAGAACAGCCUGCAUUGAAAAGGUUAUCUAGCUCCAACCUCCCUGCCAUGGCCAAGGACACCUUUCACAUGAUUUGCCCGCAAGCUUGACACAGUUUUAACUCAGAAAUGGGACUUUACCUCUUUGAGCUAUUACAAAGUGCGUUUUUGCAUGUCUACUGUUUACCCAUAUAUCUAGUUCCUAAACUCAUAUUGUGAAAAUCAGGUCACAAUUAGAUGCCUCAAUUUUCACAUCCCUCCCUCUUUUUGUAAUCCGUAAGUUCUUGUGUUGGCGACAUUGCACUCAUUGCUAAGAUCCACAUUUCUGGCACCAUAGUACCUUGUACACCCAUACCCAAUUCAAAACUAAUACCUCUCCAACCUGUACUGUGAUGCUCCAUUGGUUUAUGCAGAAUUCUCCUGAAUUCUAGCAAUUCAGGAGAGCGAGCAAUGCUGUUUUCAUCCUUUUUUGUCCUCACUGUGUGCACUCUUAAAAAAAUGAUGUGAUGUAUUGCAGUUCUUGUAUCUUUUUCAAGUCCUCAGAACCAGGAUCUCUAAGAUCUGUUUCAUUCAGUGUUUUAGUCUAACUGGUCAGCACUGUGUCACAGGCACCUCUGAACAGCACAAUAACCAACCCCACUGGUCCACAAAACAAAAGGCCUUCUGUGGCAACAAGCUGCCACAGAAGAGACACUACCAUGGAGACCAUUCGUGAUCCUGUAAGAAAGAUCCAUUGUAUUUCACAUCCCUUUGUUCUGAAAGCACUAGGAAUUAUCUCACGUCCAUUCAUCAUGAGCCAAUGAGUUAUCCCAAGUUUAGAGUUUGGGAACUGCAAAAGUGUUAAAACUCACAAAAAAUAGGCCUGGAACAAGAAAAGUAGAAAGGAAGUGAAACCUAUAUCAGCUGAGCUGGAAGUGUACCCAGAGGUACUCAAGCUCCAGCUUGAGACUUAAAGUGUGAAGGAAAGGAAGUUACUUGCACUAUCCAAGUAAUCAGUAGCUUUAUGAUAAAGCAUGUGUACAUGUAUACAUAAGCAGAAGGACUGAAGAGAAGAAAAGAAGAGAUUAAAGCUGACUUCUUGUGGGGUAUGGCUGAGGACUAUGCAUUGAACUUUUAAUUUUGUUAUAGGCAUUUGCAUUCUUUUUGACACCUAUGAAACUUGUUUCAGUUUUCCUGAGUUGCACCUGUCUGUUUUCCCUUAAGUCAGAUGUGAAAGAAUAUAUUGUGGGUAGGUAUAUCUGCCUGCUGAGGCACAAUGCACUACAAGGAGUACAAUUUGGAGACUGCAGACAAGGCACAUUGUUGCUAUGAUCAAACAUUUUUCUUGUGCAUGCAAGACCCACAUGAGAGCAGAGUGUGUUCCUCCAGUGUUGUAAAGCCAAAUGACAUUCCAGAAGCAGCUGCCCAGCCAAUACGUCCACGCUCAGUGUAGGUUCUCCACUCGGGAAAUUUGAAGCUCCUAUCUCAAAUUUCUACCUGACAAAAAAAUCUAGGACAAUCUUAUUUGGGAACUUUGGAGCUCAUUUUGAGCUUAUCUUGUAAGAUAAGAUUACAACAGAUCUGUGACUGAACUCAAACCCAAGGUACAUCUGGUGGUAAAAAUUUGCUUUUUUUUCUUCUUUAUUUUCUUUGCAGAUAUGCAGGAAGAAUUUUGACUGAAGUUAGUACAUUCUUGAUGUUAAUGUAACUUUUGUUUUACUUUUUUUCUUUUUUUUUAAAUUUACGUAUCAGUCUUUCAAAGCUCACUUCCAAGUGAACAUCUCUCAGUUGGUAAAUGAUGUGAAACUUAUUUUUGGAACAUGUAGGAAUAGCAAAAGGGCUCACUAAUCUUCUAAUAAGAUAAAGUUACUUCUGAAGGAUAAAAUUAGCAUGCUGGAAAUUUUCCAACAAUUAUAUUUUUACAGCCCUACCAUGUAUAUUAUAUAGUGUGUUUCUGAAGAAUUAGUACUCCAAAACGUAUGUUCCUCAUGUCUUCUGCAAACUUUAUUUUGAGGAAAAUUUUAAUGUGAUAAUUUAAAAAACAAUAUUUAUUUAUGAAGAAUUAUCCAAACUGUAUAAUCUUAUUAUUACGAGAAAUAAAAUAUUAGUAAUGAAAUAUGCAUCCUGAUUUUGGCUAAGAUAGAGUUAAUUUUCUUCCUAGUAGCUGGUACAGUGCUGUGUUUUGGAUUCAGUAGGAGAAUGACAUUGAUAACACACUGAUGUUUCAGUUGUUGCUCAGUAGUGUUUACCCUACAUCAAGGACUUUUUCUCAUGCUCUGCCAAUGAGGAGACACAGAAGAAGCUGGGAGGGAGCAAGGCCAGGACAGCUGACCUGAACUGACCAAAGGGAUAUUCCAUACCAUAGAAUAUCAUGCCCAGUAUAUAAACUAGAGCAGUUGGCCAGGAGGCACAGAUGACUGGUCGGGGCUGGGCUGCGCUGGGCUUUGGUCCGCAGGUGGUGAGCAACUGUGUUGUGCAUCACUUUGUCUUUAUGGAGGCUUAUUCCUCCUUUUUUUU